AAGUGUUCUUCGGAGUACUGAGUAAACUGGCGAACGGGUGCGUAACACGUAGGUAACCUGCCCUUCGGUUGGGGAUAACCCUGCUAAAGCGGGGCUAAUACCGGAUGUAGUUCAGGCAACAUAAGUUGGCUGAAUAAAAGAUGCCUUCGGGUAUUGCCAAAGGAUGGACCUGCGCCCCAUUAGCUUGUUGGUGAGGUAGUGGCUCACCAAGGCCUUGAUGGGUAGCCGACCUGAGAGGGUGAUCGGCCACACUGGGACUGAGAUACGGCCCAGACUCCUACGGGAGGCAGCAGUGAGGAAUAUUGCGCAAUGGGCGAGAGCCUGACGCAGCAACGCCGCGUGAGUGAUGAAGCUCUAAGGAGCGUAAAGCUCUGUUAGGAGGGAAGAACUGUAUUAGUUCGAAUAGGGCUAGUACUUGACGGUACCUCCAGAGAAAGCCCCGGCUAACUCCGUGCCAGCAGCCGCGGUAAUACGGGGGGGGCAAGCGUUGUCCGGAAUUAUUGGGCGUAAAGGGCGUGUAGGCGGAAUAGUGUGUCAGAGGUGCAAACUACGGGCUUAACUCGUAGCCUGCCUUUGAAACUGCUAUUCUUGAGUGCGGGAGAGGAAAGUGGAAUUCCUGGUGUAGCGGUGAAAUGCGUAGAUAUCAGGAAGAACACCGGUAGCGAAGGCGGCUUUCUGGCCCGCAACUGACGCUGAGGCGCGAAAGCGUG
RNAcentral lists this ribosomal RNA (710 nucleotides) under uncultured bacterium. Its description in RNAcentral is "bacterial SSU rRNA". It matches the Rfam family "Bacterial small subunit ribosomal RNA", at positions 71 to 763 of the family's 1533-position model. The record is from RNAcentral.